ACCUUAUCAAGAGAGGUGGAGGGAGACGGCCCUGUGAAGCCCGGCAACCAGCGCCCAGGAGCGCCAGGUGCCAAUUCCGGCGACCAAGUCGCAAGAUAAGGG
RNAcentral lists this non-coding RNA (102 nucleotides) under Thermobaculum terrenum. RNAcentral's name for it is "SAM-I sequence". It matches the Rfam family "SAM riboswitch aptamer (S box leader)". From Rfam's summary of the family: The SAM riboswitch is found upstream of a number of genes which code for proteins involved in methionine or cysteine biosynthesis in Gram-positive bacteria. The SAM riboswitch acts at the level of transcription termination control. RNAcentral also lists the same sequence under 1 other name. Lineage: Bacteria; Bacillati; Chloroflexota; Chloroflexia; Thermobaculales (SeqCode); Thermobaculaceae (SeqCode). The record is from RNAcentral.